Molecule: small RNA, 695 nt
Filed under: Pan troglodytes (chimpanzee)
Lineage: Eukaryota; Metazoa; Chordata; Mammalia; Primates; Hominidae
Description: retained intron
Source: RNAcentral
CUUUAAAAUGAUUUAAUGGGCAAAUGAUUAAUUCUUUAAGUUCACAAUUGAAAUUGUUGUGGUUGUUUUGAACACAUGAUUAUACAUAUACGUUCAUUCAUAUGCUCUUAAUAUUUCUCCUGUCAGUGUUCUAAAUAUUUGUUUUGUUUGUUGAUUUUAUUGCUGUUGUAUUUUGUUUUUGCUAAAACAUUUAUUUCAGGUUUAGUUUGCCUUUAUCAUCAUCAUUAAUUUAAUGAUCUUGUGAGCCAAGGAUAAAAUUAACAGUGUUGAAGUUGAAAUAUACAGUAGUUUGUCUUUUUGUCUUUUCAUGAAGUAGAUGGUUUUUAUAUUAUUUAGAUACACCUACCUAUAAAUCUGUUUACCCUGCAGGUGUGAUGAAUGCAGACUCUGCUACCAUUUUGGCUGUUUGGAUCCUCCUUUGAAAAAGUCUCCUAAACAGACAGGCUACGGAUGGAUAUGUCAGGAAUGUGAUUCUUCAUCUUCCAAGGAAGAUGAAAAUGAAGCUGAAAGAAAAAAUAUAUCUCAGGAGCUCAACAUGGAACAGAAAAAUCCAAAGAAAUAAAAGAUUUUCUGUAGUGUUUUUGAAAAGUUUGCAGCUUAUGUAAUAGCAGAUAAAAUUUCUAAUUGUAAAAUGUUAAAUUGUAAAAUCUAAUUUGCAAAAUGUUCUCAAUAAAGUCAUUCAAAAUGAAAUAGGA